UACGUAGGGUGCAAGCGUUAAUCGGAAUUACUGGGCGUAAAGCGUGCGCAGGCGGUUUUGUAAGUCUGACGUGAAAGCCCCGGGCUCAACCUGGGAAUUGCGUUGGAGACUGCAAGGCUAGAAUCUGGCAGAGGGGGGUAGAAUUCCACGUGUAGCAGUGAAAUGCGUAGAGAUGUGGAGGAACACCGAUGGCGAAGGCAGCCCC
RNAcentral lists this ribosomal RNA (205 nucleotides) under uncultured bacterium. RNAcentral describes it as "partial 16S ribosomal RNA". It matches the Rfam family "Bacterial small subunit ribosomal RNA", at positions 524 to 728 of the family's 1533-position model. The record is from RNAcentral.